UGCCUUCUUCUUAGAUAUGCUAGCCUUAAGGUUUAACUUUUUUUUGGAAUCCUUCUUAUCUUUCUUCUUAUUGAUCUUAUCAAUAAGAAGAAUCAGAGCCUUUUCACCUUUAAAAUAGCUCUCUACUAUUUUGAGUAUAUUCAGCAAUUCUGGCAGGCUGAUAUUCAAUUUGUUCAUGUGGUAGUUAAUGACAAACUAAGA
This 201-nucleotide long non-coding RNA is filed under the name Elaeis guineensis (African oil palm). RNAcentral's name for it is "long non-coding RNA (EGUI_LNC075190)". Lineage: Eukaryota; Viridiplantae; Streptophyta; Magnoliopsida; Arecales; Arecaceae. The record is from RNAcentral.